Molecule: ribosomal RNA, 3388 nt
Filed under: Chilostomella sp. F272
Lineage: Eukaryota; Foraminifera; Rotaliida; Chilostomellidae
Description: small subunit ribosomal RNA
Rfam family: Eukaryotic small subunit ribosomal RNA (bases 1185-3388)
Source: RNAcentral
GACAGUUUAAUAAGUGUUAAAUGCUACAUUAAACUUCCAAAUCACGCGUACACACACACACACCCACGAUUUUGUUUACAGUAGAAACAAUUUCAGCGUGAAUCACACACACACAGUGAAUCACUGAAAUCCCACUCAGUAUCACUUACGCAAGUGCAGACAGGUGCUUAAUACACUCACACUUGUCGUGACGUGGCGUAAAAAAAAUUUUCACUCCACACCCGCGCGCAGGCAGACGGUGAUUUUUUUUAUUUUGUUGCAUCACACACAUACAAAAUUUUUUGAUUUCUCUGUUUCUCUUAUUCUUAAGGACAUGCGUUACACCGUGACAAUUUUCUUUAUGGAUAACUCAGGGAAAGUGUGGCUAAUACACACGAGAAAUUUUUUUUACCACACACACGAGACACACACACAAUGCGAAAUUUUUUGUUUUGCCGUGUAUCGACAACUAUACAUUUUACUACUCACCACUCAGUGGGAAACUUUGACCGCGCUCGCGCACUCAGUUUAAAGUUUAACUGCGACAUGAGAGACAUUGAGCACGCACGUGUCUUUCCUUCGGGAGCCUCACAUCACGCUGAGAACACUUUGCGAAAUUUAUUUUGCGAAACAUGUCAUACAAGCAUCUACAGCAUCAAGUCACAGGGGUGGCGAGUGUAUUUUUGAACCUUCACAGCACUCACGCACACAGAAGAGUAUUUUCUGAUCCCAUAGAAAGAGCACCGUACAAUGAGAGACCGCUCUUAUAUCUAAAGAGCGCAGCACGCGCGUAAAUUGCCCAACGCGAGCACCCCACACUCAAAUUGUAUUUACACGCGUUAACAAUUUACAACAUUACAACAAGUUUUUUUUACACAUAUAACACUAUAUUUUUCCUGUCACCUGACAGAAUUAUAUCAUCCUUGUUCGUUGUUUAUUCAGCAUAAUAGUAUUAAUUUAUUAUUUUACUGAGGCAGUGACAAGCUGUAACGGUUGAGUAUAAAAAUGACGAGUGUCUGGCAUUGCCGCUCUUUCGGGAGCUUGGCAAGUUGCCGACGCUUUGUGUGCUCAAUUGGAAUGCGGUGAGUUUAAGCAACUCAGAACCUUUGGACGGUGUUAGUCAAAUUACACUNNNNNNNNNNNNNNNNNNNNNNNNNNNNNNNNNNNNNNNNNNNNNNNNNNNNNNNNNNNNNNNNNNNNNNNNNNNNNNNNNNNUUGUUGCGGUUAAGAGGCUCGUAUUUGGAUUGAACUGCCCGCUUGCAGUGAAUUCUCAUUCAGUUUGACAAGUUUUACGCUCAAUCAUUAAUUACCAAAUUUUUGAUUUUGUGUUCGACGCUGUUAAAUUUUUACUAUUACACUGUAUUAAUUUUUUACACGGCACAAUUUUUUCUUGCGCAUAUAUAUUUCUCGCAUACACACACACACCCACGCGCGUAUAUAUAUAUGCAUCACGCGGAAAUUAUUGUACUCUCAAACACUCGCAUAGAAUUUAUUCUCCUUUCUACACUGUGAACAAAUCAGAGAGUAUCAAACAUGUCGUUUUUGAAUGUGCAUUGAAUGUCUUAUCAUGGGAUGUUGCACUUUCGCCAAGAAGAAGUUUUUUGCCACCUGCCGCAAAAAAUUUUUUUUAAACCCCACGCACACACACACACACACGCGGGUGCGCACAUGUUAGCGCACGUAAAAUUUUAUCGCACGGUAAAUUUAUUUUUAACGGGUAAAAAUGUCGAUGGGGAUAGUUGGAGUCAACAGUACUGCUGGGCGAGAGGUGAAAUCAUGACCCUAGCAAGACUACCAAAAGCGAAAGCAGUUGGCUAGGCUAUACUCUUUGUGAUCAUAUAUGUAUAUACUCACGCGUAUCGCUAAAUUCUGUCACACGCACUCACACACUCACACACACGCGCGCAGAAAGUUUAUAGCGCUUUACGCGUAUAUAUGUAUAUUACACUUUACAAUGAAGAACGAAGGUUGGGGGAUCAAAGAGGAUCAGAUACCCUCGUCGUCCCAUUAAUUACAUCAAACGAUGGGUUCUCAAUUGCAUUUUUCAUUAAAUUGCAAAUUUCCUCAGCCUACAAAAUAACCUGGCUUGAGCUCGUAUUUUUUAUACGCUCGCCUAAUUUUUUUCGUAUGGUCUCGAUGGACGUUUCAUUUAAAAUUUUUUUGCGUGUAAGCAUUUGUUAUUCUUUGAAACAUAAGAAUGCAUUGCGUGCACUUGAUUUUCGGAGCUUUGCGCUCAAUUCUGGUGAGAUGUAAGCACUGUGUCAUACUGCCCGCAGCGUAUAGCUUCGGCUAUUUCGUCUGUCGUGUGCAGUUGACAAUCUUGGUGUGAAGCACGCUUUAGGCACGCGCUUACUGCAGAAAUGUCUGAGACAUUUUCCUCCGGGGGAAGUAUGCACGCAAGUGUGAAACUUGAAGGAAUUGACGGAAGGGCACCACAAGAACGCGUGGAGCAUGUGGCUUAAUUUGACUCAACGCGGGAAAUCUUACCGGGUCCGGACACACUGAGGAUUGACAGGCAAUAUUAAUACAUCAGCUCUUUUUUAUUAAAGUCUGUGUAUUAUGUUAAAUAUGCUAGUCCUUUCAUGAUUAUGUGAUAGGUGGUGCAUGGCCGUUCUUAGUUCGUGGAGUGAUCUGUCUGCUUAAUUGCGUUUCACUAAGGGCCUAUAAAUUUACGUGUGUUGCGGCACUUUGACCCCUCUCUGAGCGCGCGUCUUAGUUUGCUUUGCUCGCACAAUUAGGUCCUGAAAGCAACGAACGUGACCGCAACCUCUUGUUGCCUUUAUUCCAAACAUGUUUGCCAUUUUAAAUGGUAUUCAUGAAAAAAGGCUUUUUAAACUAGAGGGACCGCUGUUACUUUCUUAAACCAGAGGAAGGUUGCGGCAAUAACAGGUCUGUGAUGCCCUUAGAUGUUCCGGGCUGCACACGUGCUACAAUGAUUAUUGCAGUGAGCAUCUCAUUUUUACACACCGCAUGCGCGAGUCCAUUUAUUCACCUCUCUGAGGCGCUUUAAAUGUGUACCUCUGCGCGCGGUAAAGCCUGCUUCGAGAGUAAGUGGGUAAUCAAUUAGAAGUAAUGAUUUCCUUUUUAGCACACAUAUAUACGGCGUCUAUGCCCGGGCUGCCUUGUUGUAGCUUUUGUGCGUAUAGAUGUUUUUUUCCGUAUGUGCGAUUGUCAAUUCAUGGUGGGGACAGACCAUUGUUAAUUGUUGGUCUCGGUCUUAACUAGGAAUGCCUUGUACGGGUCUUUGGUUCAACAAACCACCCGGAAUACGUCCCUGCCCUUUGUACACACCGCCCGUCGCUCUUACCGAAUGGACUUCUCUGUGAGUUGAGGGACUGGGAACGCAUAUUUUAUCUGCACACCUAUAGAAACUUAAACGAACAGUGUGUCCUAAAGGAAAGAGAAGUCG